GACGAACGCUGGCGGCGUGCUUAACACAUGCAAGUCGAACGAUGAAGCCUAGCUUGCUAGGUGGAUUAGUGGCGAACGGGUGAGUAAUACGUGAGUAACCUACCUUUAACUCUGGGAUAAGCCUGGGAAACUGGGUCUAAUACCGGAUACGACCAAUCUCCGCAUGGGGUGUUGGUGGAAAGCGUUAUGUAGUGGUUAUAGAUGGGCUCACGGCCUAUCAGCUUGUUGGUGAGGUAACGGCUCACCAAGGCGACGACGGGUAGCCGGCCUGAGAGGGUGACCGGCCACACUGGGACUGAGACACGGCCCAGACUCCUACGGGAGGCAGCAGUGGGGAAUAUUGCACAAUGGGCGCAAGCCUGAUGCAGCGACGCCGCGUGAGGGAUGACGGCCUUCGGGUUGUAAACCUCUGUUAGCAGGGAAGAAGAGAGAUUGACGGUACCUGCAGAGAAAGCGCCGGCUAGCUACGUG
This 471-nucleotide ribosomal RNA is filed under the name uncultured bacterium. Its description in RNAcentral is "partial 16S ribosomal RNA". It matches the Rfam family "Bacterial small subunit ribosomal RNA", at positions 28 to 507 of the family's 1533-position model. The record is from RNAcentral.